UGGGGAAUAUUGCACAAUGGGGGAAACCCUGAUGCAGCGACGCCGCGUGAACGAAGAAGGUAUUCGUAUCGUAAAGUUCUGUCCUAUGGGAAGAUAAUGACAGUACCAUAGAAGAAAGCUCCGGCUAAAUACGUGCCAGCAGCCGCGGUAAUACGUAUGGAGCGAGCGUUGUCCGGAAUUAUUGGGCGUAAAGGGUACGCAGGCGGUUUAAUAAGUCGAAUGUUAAGAUCGGGGCUCAACCCCGCAAAGCAUUGGAAACUGAUAAACUUGAGUAGUGGAGAGGAAAGUGGAAUUCCUAGUGUAGUGGUGAAAUACGUAGAUAUUAGGAGGAAUACCAGUAGCGAAGGCGACUUUCUGGACACAAACUGACGCUGAGGUACGAAAGCGUGGGGAGCAAACAGG
This 402-nucleotide ribosomal RNA is filed under the name bacterium. RNAcentral's name for it is "partial 16S ribosomal RNA". It matches the Rfam family "Bacterial small subunit ribosomal RNA", at positions 355 to 776 of the family's 1533-position model. The record is from RNAcentral.